This 1840-nucleotide unclassified non-coding RNA is filed under the name uncultured fungus. RNAcentral describes it as "sequence contains 18S rRNA gene, ITS1, 5.8S rRNA gene, ITS2, 28S rRNA gene". The stretch from base 680 to 1840 matches the Rfam family "Eukaryotic large subunit ribosomal RNA", at positions 1 to 961 of the family's 3401-position model. The record is from RNAcentral. Lineage: Eukaryota; Fungi.
GGAAGGAUCAUCAGUGAACAUGUUUUUCAUUGAAAAAAAAAUUACACACCCUUUGGUUGCACUCUGUUUGGUUUGCCGGGAACGAGCGGUUUCUCUCUUUUUCCCCGCAUUCCAAAUACUUUUUUAAACCUUUAACAACCCCCCUUUUUUUGACACCUUUUAUCACAAACAUACCCCAUACAAAUAACAAAAAGACAACUUUUAACAACGGAUCUCUUGGCUCUCGCAACGAUGAAGAACGCAGCGAACUGCGAUAAGUAAUGUGAAUUGCAGAAUUCCGUGAAUCAUCGAACCUUUGAACGCAUUUUGCGCUUCCAGGUAGCCCUGGGAGCACAUCUGUCUGAGUAUCAAUUUCACCCUUCUUUGCGCGGGGAAUGCUUAAGGUAUUCCCUGUGCAAGACAAUGAGGAUCCUCGCUCUGUCAAACGAGCGACGUUCCUUGAAAAACAGCAGUCGAUUUGCCUUUUUAAAUCCAACAAAAAGGUUCAAAUCGUUUUCUCCUCGUGGAUUGUUGGCCUUUUUUUUUUUGGUUGGCCCCCCUUGCUUCGGCAAGACCUCCAAAAGAAAACCACUCCAAGCGCGUUAGGAAAGUUUCGUCUUUCUCACGUUUGGCGUCGUUUCUUUCAGAGACGACCAACACCUAAAAAAAAAAAGAAUCUGCCAAUCCACACCAUCAUUCUUGAUCUCAGAUCAGAUGGGACUACCCGCUGAACUUAAGCAUAUCAGUAAGCGGAGGAAAAGAAACUAACUAGGAUUCCCUCAGUAACGGCGAGUGAAGCGGGAAGAGCUCAAAUUUAAAAUCUGGGGGCUGGGACGACCGGCCCUCCGAAUUGUAGUUUAGAGAGGUGUUUUCGGCGGCAUCGUGGGUCCAAGUUCCUUGGAACAGGACGUCAUAGAGGGUGAGAAUCCCGUAGACUGGCCUAGCCUGGUGCUGCUAUGUGAUACGCCUUCGACGAGUCGGGUUGUUUGGGACUACAGCCCAAAAUGGGUGGUAAAUUUCAUCUAAAGCUAAAUACGGGCGAGAGACCGAUAGCGAACAAGUACCGUGAGGGAAAGAUGAAAAGAACUUUGAAAAGAGAGUGAAAUAGUACGUGAAAUUGUUAAAAGGGAAGCGCUUGGAACCAGUACGAUGUCCCCGCAGGGAAUCCAGGCAGCUGUCCGUGCCCUCGCCCAUUGCGGACGAGCCGAUCAUCUCGGCCGUCGGGUGGGCGGAGGGGCCGCGGGCCGGCUGCUGCAUCUUCUCUGCGGCGGCGAGUCAGCAUCAGUGUGUCGCGCCGGAGAUGGGCGCCGGGGAGGUAGCCACGCCCGCAAGGGCGCGGUGUUAUAGCCCGGCGUCGUGUACGGCGCGUGCAGACUGAGGAAAAUCGCAGCGUAUCCACGAGACCCGUGCCCGCAUGGAGGCCGGCGCGUCGCUCUUCCUGUGCGUCCUUUGUCGGCGUACAGACUGCGGCGCUCCCGGUCGCCAUCGCGGGUGCGUGACUGUCAUCCACUACGCUCCGGAUGCCUUGACGAAAUGGUUCCAAUCGACCCGUCUUGAAACACGGACCAAGGAGUCUGACAUGUGUGCGAGUGUUUGGGUGGUUAAACCCGUACGCGAAAUGAAAGUAACCGUGGUGGGACGGCCGCAAGGCCCGCACCAUCGACCGAUCUGGAUACUUGUUUGAAAGAUUUGAGUACGAGCACACCUGUCGGGACCCGAAAGAUGGUGAACUAUGCCUGAAUAGGGCGAAGCCAGAGGAAACUCUGGUGGAGGCUCGUAGCGAUACUGACGUGCAAAUCGUUCGUCGAAUUUGGGUAUAGGGGCGAAAGACUAAUCGAACCAUCUAGUAGCUGGUUCCCUC